Molecule: long non-coding RNA, 1605 nt
Organism: Oncorhynchus tshawytscha (Chinook salmon)
Lineage: Eukaryota; Metazoa; Chordata; Actinopteri; Salmoniformes; Salmonidae
Source: Ensembl
CGCUGAUGAUUCUGGACAUUUUUCCGUGUUGUCAAUAAUGACUUUAAUGAUCUGCAAAUUGAUUUAUAGUCGAAAAACGGAAACAUCAUUGCCUACUCAGUAAGACUACUGGGAUAUUAUGGUUCAGGUUUAUGUUUUUUAUGUUCGGUGGAUUUACUUUUGAAGGCCUAAAUAAUAUUAUUGUAGUUUCAAAAAACAUUCAGGGAGGAUAUAGUUCUGCAGCCUCGCAAGCAUCAACUGUUUGCAGAUACCUCUGGGCCACAGCAAAUCUCCCAACGGCCUCGGCUGUGACAAUAUUUUGGUUGAAAAUAAGUCAUAGGAGAAAUCCGUUUGAUUCUGGGGUACAACUCAGAAUCUUGCAUUGCCUUGGGUGAGAACACAGAGGAGGAAGAUAGAGCUUCAGCCCUGAGCCUCUCACCGAGAGACAGCUUUGAUGUGGCCCCGCUGGGCCGCCGCCCCCCCUGUGCCCUGAUUGGUGGAUGGCUGGCGGGGCGAUGUGGGAGUGGAUGGGAGAUGAAAGCGCACGGGGCAGCGAGGGGGCACCUGCACACAGAGCCUGGCCUGUGUGGAUCCUUCAUCUUCAACCGCUUCCCCUGACCGCCGGCUGAACUCCCGUGUCAGCGACCAUCACACGGUCGCUGUGACCUCUCCAUCUCUGCCUGCCUCGUUCUCUCUAUUCACUCGGUCUGUCUCUCUCUCUCUACUCACUCAAUCGCUCUGUCUGCAUCUCUUAUUCCUUCUCCGUCUUUCUCUCCAACUCUCUCUCUUUCCAUAUAAGUGUAUUGUGAGAGUGUAGUUGUCAGUUGACAGGUGUAGUAUGUGCUGUGUAUUCAGCUGCAAUAUACAAGGUGAAACAAUAUGUUGCAAGGAUAUUGAUGUCUGUGCCUCUGGAAUUGAAGUGGUCUUUGUAGAAGUGAUCCCAGCAUGUGCUCUGAACAAAAUGAAUACAUUGCCAAUAUUACAGUUAUAAAGCAUGUACUUUGUGUUGGAUCUUCAUCUAAUUUCAUGUCAUACUAAUAUUCCAGGAACACAGAAAUCAGUUUCACUGUAAGGGUGUGGUAAUGAAAAUUGUAAUGACAAUUUUAAAUAUUUUACAUAUUAAGACAAUAUCCAUUUGAUGUGAAGCAGAUGAAAAUUUGCCAACAUCUGUCAAGUUUCAGCUGUAGGGCUGAUUGAUUUGCCACUCUUGACCUCUGUGUGAAUUUGAUUAACCAUAAAAUGGUGCAUUAUGUCACCCCUAUUAGGACCAUUUAGUAUUGCCAGAAGGUCAGAGCAAAAAAUACCUCUUUUUCACUUUUAUUGAGAUGUCUCAGCAAUAAGGGCACUGUUUCAGUACAGCUGUAUGCCAAGAAGGCGCAAUCAGCUACAAUGAACUCCUCUGUGCCAUCACAUUUCAGACGUUUCACUGUGUCCAAAAGAAGAUGUGAUGCGAUUUCUUACAAAUAAAACAAAUAAAAAGAAGAAGAAGAAAAAAGGAAUGUUGCCGGUUGAUAAACUGAAAUAAAUGAUUUUAGUUUGAGUAACAUGAUUAUAAAUUCAUUUUGGUUUAUCAUGUUUACAUAAGCUUGGAUUCAGUAUUUUGGAUGUGAAUAAAAAAUGAUCACA